CGUAGGUGACCUGCGGAAGGAUAUUACC
RNAcentral lists this ribosomal RNA (28 nucleotides) under Ascomycota sp. 20302. RNAcentral describes it as "partial 18S ribosomal RNA". The record is from RNAcentral. Lineage: Eukaryota; Fungi; Ascomycota.